AGGAUAUUAGGAGGAACACCAGUGGCGAAGGCGGCUUUCUGGACUGUUACUGACACUGAGGCACGAAAGCGUGGGGAGCAAACAGGAUUAAAUACCCUGGUAGUCCCCU
This 109-nucleotide ribosomal RNA is filed under the name uncultured Aquificia bacterium. RNAcentral's name for it is "uncultured Aquificae bacterium partial 16S ribosomal RNA". It matches the Rfam family "Bacterial small subunit ribosomal RNA", at positions 691 to 799 of the family's 1533-position model. Lineage: Bacteria; Pseudomonadati; Aquificota; Aquificia. The record is from RNAcentral.